GCCUUCGUGGUGUAAUGUUCAACACACUCGGCGCUUAUUCAAGAGGUACGCGGUUCGAGUCCCGGCGAGGGCA
This 73-nucleotide transfer RNA is filed under the name Stegodyphus mimosarum. It matches the Rfam family "tRNA". Rfam says of the family: Transfer RNA (tRNA) molecules are approximately 80 nucleotides in length. Their secondary structure includes four short double-helical elements and three loops (D, anti-codon, and T loops). Lineage: Eukaryota; Metazoa; Arthropoda; Arachnida; Araneae; Eresidae. The record is from Rfam by way of RNAcentral.